UGAGGUUUGACUAAUUACCAGUUUUCUACUUCGUAAUGUGUGACGUGUGGUACUUACUUCUAGUUCAUGUAAUAUUUACACUUAUUGUUUGUUCAAUAUGUGUGUCUUUAGACAAUGGUGGAUGGUAGGUGAAUAGUUAUUGUCCAAUUCCCCCAAUUUAAGUUUUUCAUGCAUAUGACAUGUUUCUAAUUUUAAAAAAGUUUCCUCAAAUAUGUUGGAUGAUAAAUUUUUGACUUUUUUCUUAAUAAUUAUAUAUAUUCUCUUUACCUGUUUACAUCAUGUCUCAUUAGAUUUUUUUAUGGCCUCGCUGUCCGUACGUCCCAAAUUUGGUUUCUGUUCUCUAACUAUAAUAGUUUGCCUCAAACAAAUGUUAUAUCACACCUAGCUGCGCAACCGUAGCUCUUAGGUCCUUAUGCGAUUUUUUUACUAUAUGUGGACGGUCUAUUUGCGGACCGUCCCCAUAUAGUCAAAAAAUUGCAUUAGGACCUAAGAGCUACGGUUCCGCAGCUAUAUCACACCGUGACCUAACUUGAGAACCACUUAUCCAAACUUCAUAAAACUUCAUAAAACUAAUAAUAUAGUUUCUCAUGAUCAUGAUUAUUGUCAAACAAUCUGUAUACGUUUUGGUGAAAAUAAGAUUUAGACUUUUUGAGUUAUGGGACUUUAUAACUAAAACAGGGGUGUGUUUUUUCACAUGUCGCGCAGUAUCUUAAAAACAAAUUAUGAUUAGUGCUGAAAACUUUACGCACUUCUUACACAUGUUACAUGUCUUAUAUCAUGUAUAUUAAUUUAAAGAUCAUUAUACUUUUUGGUGAUGAUUCAAAAUUUAUUUUAGAGUUGUUGAGUUUUUUGGAGAAAAAAAGGGGGAGGGGGAGGAGGUAACACAUGUCGCACUGUAUCUAAAAAAACAUUAAUGAUUAUUGCUUAAAACUACACAAUUAUUAGGGUCCCGCCAAAGGUGGUCCCCUAUAGUGAUCAGUCCGUCCGUCCGUCCGUCCGCCCAUCCGUAACACUUUGUGUCCGCUCCAUAUCUAGAGAACCAUUAUGAUUUCAUACUUUAUACUUUACAUGUUUAUUAACCACCACCAGAGGGCGUGUCAUGAUGUAUGUACAACUUCCUAGGUCAAAGGUCAAGGUAAAAAAACUUUGGUUUCAGUUGACAACCCUGUGUCCUGUGGUGAAGAUCGUGUCUGCUCUAUAUCUUGAGAACCGUUAUGAUUUCAAAGUUUAUACUUGACAUGUAUAUGAACCAACACCAGAGGGUGUGUCAUAAUUUAUGAACGACUGCCUAGGGCAUAGUUCAAGGUCAAAAACUUUGGUUUCAGUUGACAACCCCAUGUCCUAUGGUAAAGAUUGCGUCCGCUCUAUAUCUUGAGAACCGUUAUCAUUUCAAAGUUUAUACUUGACAUGUAUAUAAACCAACACCAAAGGGUGUGUCAUAAUUUAUGUGCAACUUCCUAGGUCAAAGGUCAAGGUCAAAAACUUUGGUUUCAGUUGACAACCCCAUGUCCUAUGGUAAAGAUCGUGUCCGCUCUAUAUCUUGAGAACCUUUAUCAUUUCAAAGUUUAUACUUGACAUGUUUAUAAACCAACACCAAAGGGUGUGUCAUAAUUUAUUUACAACUUCAUAGGUCAAAGGUCAAGGUCAAAAACUUUGAUUUCAGUUGACAAACCCAUGUCCUAUGGUAAAGAUACAAUUUUUUAAUGCACAUUAUUCACAGCGGGCCCACAGAGAUGGCUCCCAUCUCAAUGAUAUCUAGUUAGUUAUAAUUAUCUAAAGAUCUGUUUUACUUUUUGUUGAUGAUUCAAAAUUUUAUUUCAGAGUUAUUGAGUUUUUGGUAGAAAAAAAGUUUGUUUUUUUUCACAUAUCGCGCCAUACAAUGUAUCUCAGAACCUUUUUAUGAUUAUUGCAUUAAACUUCACACACAAGAUGACAGGCAUUUAUGCGCUCAGGGCGCAGCUGUUUAUUUCUUUCUGUUCUCUAACUUUAGUUCAUUUCUACCAAAUGUUAUGGAACUUAUACACAAUGCUCAUUACCUCAAAACACAGAUUAAGUUAGGAUUUUGAUCGUCAUUUUAACCAUUCUAGAGUUAUGCCCUUUACAAAUGGAAAAAAAGCAGAAUUUUUCGUGUCCGUUCUCUCACUUUAGUUUGCCUCAACCAAAUGUGAUGAAACUUAUACACAAUACUUAUUACCAAAAAAUACAGAUUGAGUUUGAGUUUUAGUUGUGUCAUUUUUACCGUUCUAGGGUUAUGCCGCUUUACAAAUGGAUAUAUUGCUGAAUUUUUAGUUUCCGUUCUCUAACUUAAGUUAAUUUGCCUUCAACAUGUUCAAUGUUAUCAUGGUUAUGAAAUGUACAUAGCUAGCUUUUGAAGGACCUCAUUUUAAUUUUUGACAUUCUUAAUAAUGUGAAUAUACAAUUUUCAUGGCUACAGAUGAAUCGUCAAUACUAGCUAUGGAAGGACCUUGUUUUAACCUUGACAUUCUUCUUAAUAAUGUGAAUAUACAUUUUCAGGGCUACAGAUGAAUCAUCAAUACUAGCUUUUGAAUUACCUUGUUUUAACCUUGAUAUUCUUAAUAGUGUGAAUAUACAUUUUUAGGACUACAGAUGAGUCGUCAAUAUUAGCUUUUGAAGGACCUUGUUUUAACCUUGAUAUUCUUAAUAAUGUGAAUAUACAUUUUUAGGGCUACAGAUGAGUCGUCAAUACUAGCUUUUGAAGGACCUUUUUUUAACCUUGACAUUCUUAAUAAUGUAAAUAUAUAUUUUUAGGGCUACAGAUGAGUCGUCAAUACUAGCUUUUGAAGGACCUUGUAAUAUAGAAAUUAGAGAUGCAAGUCAAUUAUCACAAGAAGAAUUUAUUAAAAGGUUAGUUUUGUUUAUCUUAUUAGGAUCUAAAGAUAUGUAAAAUCACAAGGCAUCAUGUAGAUACUGUACCCUCCUUAUCAUUCAUGAUGUCAUUGAAACAUACAUUGUAAGACAUUGCAACAUGUCCAAUCACCGACAAUAGAGGGUUGUUUUACCCUGAAAGAUUGAUUACUGUUUACUGCUAGGAUUUGUUUAUUUUGUUUGAUCACUAUAUUUUUUUUUAUCAACAAACAGACCUAUAAUUUGAUUUAUAAACCAAUAUGUAUUUAUAUAACCAUGCCUUAUAUUAAAAUAUUAGUCCAAUAUCCUAAAAAAUGUCGUCCAAUGCACAUGAUUUAGAUGAAAUAGGAAAAUAUGACGGGAGCAAAAAAUGGUUUGGUUAGUCAUAACUUUUUGUAAACCCAUCACAUGCGCCCUAACUGUCAAACCAUUCCUUAAUUGCAGGAAUAGAUUUAUUGCCUUCAAAUACGAUUUUAAUGAACUGUUGACUUUUUGGGAUAUCUUAGUGAAAUCAAUAAUGGUUUUUAACAAAAGUUUCACUUGUCAUCACUCGUAUCAUGUAGAACAUGUAGAAUGAACUUUUUACCAGUUUUUAUUUCAAUAUCAAGAUGACAUAUUUUCCCCAGAUGAGUAAUUCUUUGAGCCUCUAGUUAUACCUACCAAAAGUGCUAAAGUUAAUCUUGUUUUACAAUACAUAUUUUAGCUGCUGAUUUAAUGUUCUUUUUACAUGUUUUAACAUACCAACAAUGCUCAUUCAAGUGUUGUUUUACUUUACAGAUAUGCUCACCAAAGUCCCUUAGUUAUAAAAGGUGCCACAGAUAACAGAAACUUUCACCAAAUUUGUAGUAAGGAUGAAUUGAUACGAAAUCAUGGGACAAAAAAGAUAAGACUAAGCUCAGCUAACACAUACUCAUAUGAAAAAAGUAAGUAAUGAUUCAAAGACAUUAUAUUUAUCAACCAAAGUUUUUGUCCAAAUGAAUUGUUUUAAUAAUAGUAAUAUUUAUUCAGGUAAAGGCAGUAUACACAAAUGAAAAAUACAACCUCAAAAUAUAGCAAUGGUUGUUAUAUAACCUCAAAAUAUAGCAAUGGUUGUUAUAUAACCUCAAAAUAUAGCAAUGGUUGUUACAUAACCUCAAAAUAUAGCAACGGUUGUUAUAUAGGUACCACUAAUGCCUUAACCCAAGGAUGGAUGAAAGCAAUAUACUAUUACAUAAUACAACCUCAAAAUAUAGCAAUGGUUGUUACAUAGGUACCACUAAUGCCUUAACCAAAAGAUGACCCAUUAAAGCAAACAACCUUAUUUCCAAUGGGGUCCUUAGCUGAAAUGAAAAUAAUAACAUACUAAUAUAUAAUUAGGAGACAAGAUUGCCAUAAAAACAACCUUUCAACAGACUCUAAAAAACCUAGAGUUUUUCUUUGCAUUCAUAUUUUUAUACCAAUGUGCUUCUGGAAUUGCAUAAAUACCAGUUUUCCUGCAUUGUUUUUAUCAUUAAAGCUACUUGUAUUUAUUACUAGGAAAGAAGUUUUGGGGCUGUAAUAAAAAGUUGCAAGUAAAUGGGAUGUUUUUUGUGUGCAAAUGUAUAGGCAGUGAUAUUGUUGGCUUUUUUCAAAACUAUCUCUACCCUUUUUUAUUGGGAAAAUAUGCAUCAUUUUUAUCAAAUUGGGAAAUUUACAAUUGUAUAAUAAAUCAUGAAUUUGACUGGAAGUUCAAUUUGCAGACCCCCUUUCAAGAGGUAAACUCUCAUUUGAAAUAUAAAGACCCCUUAUUGUCAGUGAUGAUACAUAAAUAGACCCUAAAAUCUGCACAUAUAUUCAGUUUAGACAUGAAAUUUUUUUAAAUGAGUGUUUUACAGUUUUUAUUCAUGCUCAAUUACUUCUGUUUGGGAAAAAAGGUGUAUUUUUGGGAACAAUUUUAAGCCAUUUUUUUUAAAUUCGGAUUUUUCUCCAGGGGAAAAAACCUUUAUUCUCCGGUAAUUUAAGGCAAACAUUAUCACUGAUUGGGAAUGCAUUAGAUUGAAUAAAUAAUAAUGUUUUAAUUUCAGGAGAUGUGUCAUUAAAGUAUUAUAUAGAAAAUGUUAUGAAACCUCAGACCUUAACAAUGCUUGGAAAUGGUAUGUAUAAAUGAACACAUUCUUAGGACUAGUACUGAUUGUCAUUUGUAUGAGAUCAUCUUUUUCCCUCCCAGCUUUAUGGGUAACAAAUAAGCUUUUUUAUACGACCGCAAAAUUUGAAAAAUUUUUCGUCGUAUAUUGCUAUCACGUUGGCGUCGUCGUCGUCGUCUGCGUUGUCUGCGUCGUCGUCGUCGUCCGAAUACUUUUAGUUUUCGCACUCUAACUUUAGUAAAAGUGAAUGGAAAUCUAUGAAAUUUUAAGACAAGGUUUAUGACCACAAAAGGAAGGUUGGUAUUGAUUUUGGGAGUUUUGGUCCCAACAUUUUAGGAAUUAGGGGCCAAAAAGGGCCCAAAUAAGCAUUUUCUUGGUUUUCGCACUAUAACUUUAGUUUAAGUUAAUAGAAAUCUAUGAAAUUUUGACACAAGGUUUAUGACCACAAAAGAACGGUUGGGAUUGAUUUUGGGAGUUUUGGUUUCAACAGUUUAGGAAUUAGGGCCAAAAAAGGGCCCAAAUAAGCAUUAUUCUUGGUUUUCGCACAAUAACUUUAGUUUAAGUAAAUAGAAAUCAAUGAAAUUUAAACACAAUGUUAAUGACUACAAAAGGAAGGUUGGUUUUGAUUUUGGGAGUUUAGGUCCCAACAGUUUAGGAAUUAGGGGCCAAAAAGGGACCCAAAUAAGCAUUUUUCUUGGUUUUCGCACCAUAACGUUAGUAUAAGUAAAUAGAAAUCUAUGAAAUUUAAACACAAGGUUUAUCACCAUAAAAGGAAGGUUGGUAUUGUUUUUGGGAGUUUUGGUCCCAACAGAAUAAGGGCCCAAAGGGUCCAAAAUUAAACUUUGUUUGAUUUCAUCAAAAUUGAAUAAUUGGGGUUCUUUGAUAUGCCGAAUCUAACUGUCAUGACUGUGUAUGUAGAUUCUUAACUUUUGGUCCCAAUUUCAAAUUGGUCUACAUUAAGGUCCAAAGGGUCCAAAAUUAAACUUAGUUUGAUUUUGACAAAAAAUGAAUCAGUUAGGUUCUUUGAUAUGCUGAAUCUAAAAAUGUACUUAGAUUCUUGAUUAUUGGCCCAGUUUUCAAGUUGGUCAAAUCGGGGUCCAAAAUUAAACUUUGUUUGAUUUCAUCAAAAAUUGAAUAAAUGGGGUUCUUUGAUAUACCAAAUCUAACUGUGUAUGUAGAUUCUUCAUUUUUGGUCCUGUUUUCAAAUUGGUUACACUAAAGUCCAAAGGGUCCAAAAUUAAACUUAGUCUGAUUUUAAUAAAAAUUGAAAUCUUGGGGUUCUUUGAUAUGCUGAAUCCAAAAAUGUACUUAGAUUUUUUAUUAUGGGCCCAGUUUUCAAGUUGGUCCAAAUCAGGAUCUAAAAUUAUUAUAUUAAGUAUUGUGCAAUAGCAAGUCUUUUCAAUUGCACAGUAUUGCGCAAUGGCAAGAAAUAUCUAAUUGCACAAUAUUGUGAAAUAGCAAAUUUUUAUUUAAUUAGAGUUAUCUUUCUUUGUCCAGAAUAGUAAGCAAGAAAUAUCUAAUUGCAAAAUAUUGUGCAAUAGCAAGAUUUUUUUUUAAUUGGAGCUAUCUUUCUUUGUCCAGAAUCAACUUAAAUCUUUGUUAUAUACAAUAUACAAUGUAUAUUCACUUUUUACUACCAACUGAUAAAUUAAAAUAAUCUUUACCAUUCAGUGAUAAGAAGCAUUUUUUUUACAUCUUAAUAUUUUAUGAUGUAUUUAAAUGAGUAGUUAUUGUUGCAAACUCCAUUAGAAAUUUUAAUUGAGAUUAGUUUUGGAAUAAGGGAAAGGGGGAUGUGAUUAAAAAAAUUGGGUUCAAUUUUUCUCAUUUGAAAUUUCAUGAAUAAAAAAGAAAAUUUCUUCAAACAUUUUUUUGAGAGGAUUAAUAUUCAACAGCAUAGUGAAUUGCUCUAAGAGAAAACAAAAAUUUUAAGUUCAUUAGAACACAUUCAUUCUGUGUCAGAAAACUAUGCUGUGUCAACUAUUUAAUCACAAUCCAAAUUUAGAGCUGAAUCCAGCUUGAAUGUUGUGUCCAUACUUGCCCCAACCGUUCAGGGUUCAACCUCUGCGGUCGUAUAAAGCUACGCCCUGCGGAGCAUCUGGUUUCGACUGUAUUUAAGGUGAACAUGUACAUCUAGCUGUUUCUUCUGACCUUAAGAUCAUUUUCAUGAUUUAUUUAUCAAUGUUUUCAUGGUUAGGUCUGUUGUUCAGAUACUUUUAGCAAUAUAUCAACAAUAGUUGGUGUAUGGAAGGAUUGCAUGUUGAGCAUGUCUGUCUGGGCAUAUUUCAUAUCACCUUAGUCUCAUUUUUAUGUAUCAUUGAUAAUUAUUUAAGAUUAUGUGACCCUUGUAGUAAAACUUUUAUCUAUAGAUCUUUCCACAAAAAAAUCAAUUUUGAUCAGCAAAGUAGGCAAGACAUUUUAGUGUGUGCUCUCCUGUUUUGCAUCUUUGAUUAAAUCAAACAUUUAUUUUAUAACAUUUAAACUUAACAGAUGUUAGACUUAUAUUUAGAAACCUUUUACUGGUUUGGAGAUAAUAAUUAUACAGAAUGGGAGGAUGUGUUUAACAGAUACAAACCACCACCUUAUAAGUUACCUUUUAUGACAGGGGCUUACAGCUUUGGUGUUGCAGGUAUUUAUGUUCUUAAUGAGUUUUGGGUUAUUCUUCUAAAGUACAAGGUCAUAUUUAUUGAAAUGGGCAUGUAUGUUUGUGGCUUUUGUUGCCUCUUGCAUAUUUACAGAAAUGCAUAAAACUUUUUUAUGAAAAAUAUUCUUAUAUAUAAGAAAAUAUUCUUAUAUAUAAAUAAAUUAUAAUGUUUGAAUAAUCUCCCCAUAAUUUUCUCAAAAUUUUACUUAUACAAGUAAAUUAGUUUUUACAAUUCCACCAACAUUCUAAAGUUUUAAAAGAUGUAAAAUCGUGCCUUUAAUGAUUUUUCCCAGGUUAGCUCACAAUUAUUUAUAAGAGUUCAAUGUUUCAUCUCUUUAAUUCAACCAUGGAAGUAUUAUAUUGACAGGAACUCCAACAAACCGACUUCAAACGUUUAUAGUGCGAUGCCGCAAAAUCGUUAAGUAUCUGUUAAUUAAUUUGACAUCUUUCAAUUAGUUGUAUCGAUGCAUGGGUUCAACGACGUUUUCGGGAUACUCGUAAUUACGGAAUUUACCGAAGUAACCGGAUGUAUACAUAAAUGUCAAGGAUAUGACAUUUAACGACCCCCCCCCAAAAAAAAAAAAAAAAAAACUGAAAAAAAAACAUAAUCGUUUGCAUGGACAUCAUUUUCAAUCGCAAAUAUCUAUUUAUUCUUUAUAUUCGCUUAUUUGUUUCUCUGUUAUUUGUUUUGUGCAUAAUCAGGCCAAUAGAAUUUUUUUCAUAUAUGAAAUGGAUUUGCUAAAAUAUGUUUAAGGCUGUAAGGUGACCUAUAGUUGAAAACUUCUGUUUCAUUUGAUCUCUGGUGGAGAGUAGUCUUAUUGGCAAUCAUAUCUUCUUAUUUUUAUAUUGAAUUAUAAUAAAUGUCUUGUGUAAGGAAACAAAUAGUUGUAAUCUGCAUGUAUAAUUGAGGUUUACUGCUAACAAAUCACUUGUUGAAUUGUUUACUGAAAGUCCGGUGUCAAAUGUUUCAUUCAUUUCAACAAAAAGAAAAUUUUAUAAAUUUCCCAAAACAAAUCCGUCAGACGCCAGAGCAAUCUCGGACCAGGUUGAAUUUAAAAAAAAAAAGAAGGUGUACAUGUAAUCUGUGUUUUAACUUGAUACAUACUAUAUGGAGAGACAAUCACGGGCGUAUAAUUAUCCACCUCUUAGUGCUUAAAACAAUUUCUAUAAAUAUGUUAAGUUACAUUUUACGAUCGAGAAAACUAUUAAUAUUUGUGUUACACUCGAUUAAAAUUUACAAUCUUUAACUUAAAAUUUGAGUUAUCAGGCGCCAUCAGGCACACUACACGGACAUCAAAUUAUUUUCUGCAAACACUCUACUUCAGAGUCAUGUAAUCUGCAUAAUCCGAUAUUUCCCGAUUUCCUAGUUCUAGUGAUAAAAACAUAUUAGACAAAACUAAAAAUAAUCUUACAUUCUUUCCAAAUACAGUUAUUUUUCUUUUGUCAUUCUGUUAAAUAUGGACCGAUUUUUAAGAUUGUUUCAGCUGUAGUCUUUAAUUAUUGAAUAAAAACAGGUGUCGUUAUUCAUGUAGCGAUUUGCAAUUAGCCACGGGAGUUUCCGUGUUUAUUUACAUUGGUAGGUAGAUUAGACCCUCGAUAACAGAUCACGUGAUAAGAUCAGUUUCUGUAAACUACACACGCGAGGGCGGCAUCGCAGAUACCCCACAAAGGAGUUAUCACAUACUUGACAUACUGAGUCGGAACCUUUUAUUUUCCUAAAGAAAUCAGUGGGGUGCGAAUGUGCUAAUUUUUCGUUGGAGUUCCUGUCAAUAUAAUACUUCCAUGAUUCACAAAGAAACUGAUUGCACAAAGAUCUUAAGUAUUUGCGCAAAGCCUUCAAAAAUUGCUCCUUCGGAGUUGUAAAUGACCAGUGAUUCUGAAGAUAACAGACAAAUGAUUGUUUCAUUGUCCAUGAAAUUACACUUUAAUGAUUAGUAAAGACAUCUGCAAUGGGCAGACAAAUAAAGUUCUAUUAGAGCAAAGAAAUCUUAAGAAUUUAAGAAAUGAAGAUAAGAUGACUUUUUCACUGAUAUAAGUAAAAAAAAUCUGAAUGUCUAAGGGACAUAACUAGAUAAUUUUUUUUAAAAUUCACUUGUAUAAGUAUCCUACAAAUUUACUUAUAUAAGUAUCCUUCAAACUUACUUAUAUAAGUAAAAAAAUAUAUUCUUAUAUAAGUAAAUUAUAAUGUUUGAAUAAUCUCCCCAUAAUUUUCUCAAAAAUUUACUUAUACAAGUAUAUUACUUAUUCUUAUAUAAGUAUCCUACAAAUUUACUUAUAUACUUCUUCAAGUAAAUAAAAUUACUUGUACAAGUAGUACCCCUGACUGACAGUAGACCGAGCAGAAAAUAACUCAUCCAUGUUACUUAUAAUAUGCAUAAAAAACUAUCAAAUCAGUUGCUUGAAUUAGAAAUAAACCUCUGACAACUUAAUCAAAAUGCUGUUUAUGAAAGCAAGGAAAAUCUACUGCAGGACAUAACUAAGUAUUUGUACAACCUUUUUGGUGUACAGUGAGAAUACUUACACAAAGAUGUUCCAUUAACAGCAACAGUUCACUACUACAUUAUUUUGUGCCAAUAAUGCAAAUACUUUCUAUAGCUUGCAUGAUUUCGAAAAAGUUUUAUCUUAUAAUAUUCUUCCUUCAAUUUAUGAAAUCUUAUAUGCCAAGGAACACUCUACAAAAAGAACUGGUGAAAAUAUCACUUUAUUUGGAUUUUUUGCUAAAUAUUGGUGAAAUAUGAAAAUUUGCAAUAGUUAAUACAUUUUGUAGAUGCAGGGACUGGUGUACCAUUUCAUUUUCAUGGUCCAGGUUUUGGUGAAGUUAUUUAUGGAAGAAAGGUAUUUUGUUUAAAAAAAAAAAAAAUUGUACUGCACCAUUAAACAUGUUAGACAUUACUAAACAUUUUGUACCUUAACUAAACAGUGUGUACCAUAACUUAACAGUGUGUACCAUAACUAAACAGUGUGUACCAUAACUAAAAGUGUGUACCAUAAGCAAACAGUGUGUACCAUAACUAAACAGUGUACCAUAAGUAAACAGUGUGUACCAUAAGUAAACAGUGUGUACCAUAACUAAACUGUGUGUACCAUAAGUAAACAGUGUGUACCAUAACUGAAGAGUGUGUACCAUAACUAAACAGUGUGUACCAUAACUAAACAGUGUGUACCAUAAGUAAACAGUGUGUACCAUAACUAAACAGUGUACCAUAAGUAAACAGUGUGUACCAUAAAUGAACAGUGUGUACCAAAACUAUACAUUAUGUACUAUAAUGGAACAUUGUGUUCUAUAAAAAAAAACAUUGUAUUCUACAACAAAACAUUGUGUACUAUAACAAAACAUUGUGUUAUAUAAGGAAAAUUGCAAAGUUACGAAACAUUGUGAAAGGGUUGAGAAGUUAAUUAUAUAAAAUGUUGUUUGCAUGGAACUUAUUUUAAUUUUUAUACUUAAUUUACUGUAAAUUCUAAAUUAAGAAUUAAUCUUAAGCUGAUCUUGAGAUGGCCAUGCUGACCUUGGCUUCCCAUAUUAAAAACAUUAUUCCUAGAUAAACCCCAAGCACAAUACAUAUCUUUUGUCAACAAUUUUUUGGGGUUUGGAUGGUAGGAAUAAUUUUUAUUUGACUGCACCAGGUUUGCACUGACAACCUUUCACCUUUAAAGACCAAUGAGCUUAUGAAAAUAUUAGUUUUAAGAGAUGGCUUCUAACUACAACUUGUAGAACAUUUAAGCAAUUUGGUAUUGUGAAAAGAUUAGUGCCUUUUAAAUAUGCACAGCUAUUGUUUUUCCAUAUUGAACAAAGUGUUGAAUAUAAAUCUAAAUCUUGUGUAGAAUAAUAUUAAUUAUUUGUUUUUAGCGUUGGUUUUUAUAUCCACCAGAGAAAACCCCAUCUUUUCAUCCCAACAGAACUACCCUGCAAUGGUUGUUUGAAGAUUAUCCUAAUCUACAUCCUGAUGAUAAACCAAUAGAAUGCACAAUAAAUCAGGGAGAGGUAAGGAUAGCGGUCUCUGUCAAGCUAUGUGAAUUCCUAUAUUUUCAUGGAUUCAGUAAAUAUUUUUAUCUGACCGCAAAAAUUUUUUGCAUUUGUAUAAUGGUAUGAUGUCAUCGUCUGCUUCCUCGUCCUCUGCGUUGUCAGAAGACACAUUUGGUGUCCAAUAACUUUAGUUUAAGUGAAUGGAUCUCUAUGAAAAAUUUCAUUAAAAGGUUCAAUACCUCAAAAGGAAGAUUGGCAUUGAUUUUGGGGUUGAUGGUCUCAACCAUUUUGGAAUUAGGGGCCCAAAACAAGGAUUUUUCUACAUUCAGGAUAUCAACUUGUGUAUAAGUAUUCCAAUUGCUCUGAAAUUGUACCACAAUGUUUAAUACCACAGGUAGAAGGUUUGGAUUGAUUUUCGGUGUUAUGGUCUCUAUUCUGUUACAUCGUUCCGUGAUUUAUAUAGUUCAUUUGAUUAUAUUCUUAAUCUAUUUAUGUGUUCCAGUCUAGGAGGAUUAUUCCUCUUUAACCUUAUGAGAACGUUAAAACAUCGUACCGUCGCUACCUUUCCCUCUCUCACACAUGUCUAAAACUGAAACUGCAAGGUCAUACCAGUAUUGAAGAACAUUCAAAGGACAAACGUCUUCUUGGACGCAAUUCGUGGCUAACCACAGAGUGAGUUAAUUCUACAACAUUGUAUUUGAACCCUUCAAAUUGCUCUCUACAUAUUUGAACCUUUUCUCCAUAAAAUACCUGGAAUUAUCUGUUCUUGAAAGUACAACAUUUUCUCGCAUUCAACGGACUGUGCUAUCUAUUACCUUUGACAUUUCGUUUUAAUAACAUUAAUUAAACACAUUGUAAAAAUUGUAUUUUAUUUGUUUUUCAGCUUUUUACCAUUUGUUAGAUUGACUCUUGAUUAAAGUAUCAGCAUCUGAUAGUCUUUUCUGCUUGAGCCCAAUCGUCGGUUAUACUUAGUGGUCAGGCCAUUACAGUCUCAAAGGUUUAGGAAUUUGGGGCCAAAAAAGAGGCCCAAAUAAGCAUUUUGUAGUUUCCAGUCAAUAACUUGUGUUUAAGUGUAUAAAUCUCUCUGAAAUUAUUCCACAAGUUUUCAUACUACAAAAGGAUGGUUAUAGGGGUUAUGGAUCAAAUCAUUUAGCAAUUAGGGGUAAAAAAUGGGGAAACAAGGGUUUUUCUGGUGAAAGGACAAUUUAGACAAUUUAAAGCAGUGUAAGGGAGGUAAGCCAAUUUCAUUUAAAGAAUACUGUUGUAUAUAUGUUUGAUUACCUCCCUUACACUGCUUGAAAAUUACUUAUUAAGAAAUGAUGAUUGUCUUGAGAUGAUUAGCUGUAAAUUUGUAUUUAGACAUGUUAAAAGUUACUAUUAAUUGAUAUUAAUUUUAACCAUGACUGUAUGUCAUUUUAUAUUUUAAUAUUUUAUGAUGUAUUAAAAUGAGUAGUUAUUGUUGCAAACUCUUUUUGAGGGGAUUGAUAUUCAACAGCAUAGUGUAUUGCUCAAAAACCAAAAUUGUUUUUUAGGUUCGUUAGACCACAUUCAUCCUGUGUCAUAAACCUAUGCUGUGUCAACUACUUAAUCACAAUCCAAAUCCAUAGCUGUAUCAAGCUUGAAUGUUGUGUCAAUACUUGCCCAAACUAUUCAGGGUUAAACCUCUGCAGUCGUAUAAAGCUGAGCCCUGCGGAGCAUCUGGUUGAAAUUUAUUUUCCAUCUUUUUCCUAUUUGAUCUACUAACAAAAAAAUAUAUAGAUUUUGUUGAACAUUUGAAUUCAUUGAUCACCUAUAGCAACCAAAUCCACAAAAAAUGGUAACCUAUUAAUAAUACUUUAUUCAUACUGGUAAUAAGCUCUCCUACAGGCCAAUCAAGUGAGGUGAAGAUUUCCUGAACUACUAUCAAUCUCUUAAAUGGAGACAAGAACUACUUAUCAAUCAAGAAAAAGUAUGGUGCUUGCUCAAGCUCAAGAACUUGCAUUGUUUUAGCUCACAGGGCACACCUACCAGUAAUAGUUAUUACUGUUAUUAUAAACAAAUAUGAUUAGAUUUGCUGAAUUAUUGUGUGAACAAGAAAACCUUUAAAAGAAUAAAGAUUUCACCAAAAUAAGAUUCACAAAUAAGUUGAUAUGGAUAGAACUGAAAAGUCUACCUUAUAAAGACAAUGUUUUACUUUAAAAAACAAACUAAAAAAAGAUACCCCCAAAAAUGAUAUUCAGUAAUACAAUUAAUAUUGUUACCUCAAUUUUGAUAGCCUUGUAAUCAAUAUUUAAACUGUAAUAUUUUUAUUUAAACUAGUGCUAUAUUCAUAUUUUGUUACCAGCAAUAUGAUAUGAUGAUCAAUAUCAAUUCAAUGUAGUGUAAUAUUUCUGCCUAAAUCGAAAUUAAUUGAAUACUUUUGCCUUUGAUAAUAUCUCACUUUAUUUUGUAGAUAAUAUAUUUCCCAGACAGAUGGUGGCAUGCAACGCUAAAUAUAGAUAAGAGUGUUUUUAUUUCAACAUUCUUAGGAUGAAGAAACAAUCAAUACUAUUAACAAACUUAUUUUUUAUUCUAUGAGUUAUUAUAAACCUUCUUAAUUGAUGUGGAUUGUCAGUUUAUAGAAGGUUGGUUGUUCUAUCCUGCAUUCCAGACUUCCUUCACCAUGAUUGACAGCCAGGAUAUAACCAAUAGUGCUAAAAUGGUGUUUUAUUAAUAAUUCAAACAAUCAUCAUUGAUCAUCUUAUGAUAUUUUGUUAUUUUUAUAAGUUCUUCAUCAGUGGAAACCUUUAACUGCAGUCUUGCCAUCAAUCUUGUCAUCACUCAUUACUUUGUAUGAGAAAGAAAGAUUAAAAAAAAGGAGAAAAAGCAAGAGGGGAUUCAUAAGUUGAGAGAGAGUGGCAACACCACAGCAAAAAAACAAAAGACAACCAAAAGACAAAAAAUGUUACAAAAUACUAAAUGGAAAUCUAAGCCUUUAAACUGAAAAUAAGAACCCCAUAAAACUAUUGGGUGAUGUCAGCUGCAAAGGAGGGAAAGCACUUGUCACACUAGUUGAUGUCAUUCAAUCAAUUUAGUGUGGCAAUUUUUAUGUGGAAUAAAUUUCUUAUUUAUUUGUACAAUUCUUGGAACUUGACUUUAUAGAAUUUCAAGACAUAUUUAUUUUUUUAAUAUAGCAUUACUUUUGUCAUUCCACUGCAAAUGUUGUUUUUUUU
Molecule: long non-coding RNA, 14763 nt
Filed under: Mytilus galloprovincialis (Mediterranean mussel)
Lineage: Eukaryota; Metazoa; Mollusca; Bivalvia; Mytilida; Mytilidae
Source: RNAcentral